AACGAACGCUGGCGGCAUGCCUAACACAUGCAAGUCGAACGAGACCUUCGGGUCUAGUGGCGCACGGGUGCGUAACGCGUGGGAACCUGCCCUUAGGUUCGGAAUAACUCCCCGAAAGGGGUGCUAAUACCGGAUAAUGUCUUCGGACCAAAGAUUUAUCGCCUUUGGAUGGGCCCGCGUUGGAUUAGCUAGUUGGUAGGGUAAAAGCCUACCAAGGCGACGAUCCAUAGCUGGUCUGAGAGGAUGAUCAGCGACUCUGGGACUGAGACACGGCCCAGAAUAUUGGAGGAGGGAGGAGAGCCUGAUACAGGAAAACCGCGGAGGGCAAGAACGCGCUAGGGUUGUAAAGCGAUGAUGGUGGUAGAGAUGAACAGCACGUUUAUACGGCACGAUAAUGACAGUACCGGAAGAAUAAGCACCGGCUAACUUCGUG
This 433-nucleotide ribosomal RNA is filed under the name uncultured bacterium. Its description in RNAcentral is "partial 16S ribosomal RNA". It matches the Rfam family "Bacterial small subunit ribosomal RNA", at positions 29 to 507 of the family's 1533-position model. The record is from RNAcentral.